GAACAAUGGCACCCCUUAGAAUAUUUUUUUUUCUUUUUCUUUUUCUUUUUCUCUUGGAAUACCGGUAUUUUUAACAGGUACGUAGAAAUACUGAUGCUGCCAAGAGAAAUGGCAGCACCUGUGUGCAUGGUAGAGAACGAGUGAUUCUCAUACAAAAUUUUCCACUUGAGUCAUUUUUAUAAUUAAUCAAUUCUUUUCAUUCAGUUAAAAUAAAAUCGUUUUAAACUAUUAAGUGAAUAAUCUGACCAAAGAAGACCACCUUUUCUCCACAUUAUUUAUCCCAAAGCAUCAAGCACACUUGAGGUGCUGGGACUCUCUUUCUUCAUUCUUUUUUGUUGUUUAUGAGCAGAUAGUUCAAAUUUCAUGGUCAUAGGGAGCUAUGGAAGCGAGGGACUCAAGUCGAUAUUUGCAUCGAUCGGUGGAAACACUGAUCGUAGUGGUGGCAGUGAUCACUAUCAUAUGUGUUAUUGUAGGGAUCAUUGCACGGUUAUGCGGAGGAAAGCGUUGGGUUGGGAAUGGGGAGAACCACAUUGAAGGAUGGAUAGAAAAGAAGUGCAGAAGUUGCAUUGAUGGUGGAGUCACAGUUGAAGAACCAAAGCCCGCAAUAGAAGAGGAAAGGAAAUGAAGCUUCAUGGUUCAUGUAUAGAUGAAUAUGCGUAAUUUAGUUAUUGGUUAGCUUAAAAUUCUGUAAUGGGAACAUUAUAACAGUGAGCUCAACAGUGAAGGAGAGGAGUUAUGGCAACUAAUAGGUUAAUGCUUUUAUAUCAUGUAUGUUAACUCUCUAAAAAUUUCCAGUCUGAGUGUGAAUGAUGUUGAAAUAACUAAAGUUGUAUCAUUUCCGGAA
Long non-coding RNA from Gossypium arboreum, 844 nucleotides. RefSeq lists it as uncharacterized. Lineage: Eukaryota; Viridiplantae; Streptophyta; Magnoliopsida; Malvales; Malvaceae. The transcript has 2 exons. The record is from RefSeq and is a predicted model, not a curated record.